This 89-nucleotide transfer RNA is filed under the name Bacillota bacterium. Its description in RNAcentral is "tRNA-Ser". It matches the Rfam family "tRNA". From Rfam's summary of the family: Transfer RNA (tRNA) molecules are approximately 80 nucleotides in length. Their secondary structure includes four short double-helical elements and three loops (D, anti-codon, and T loops). Lineage: Bacteria; Bacillati; Bacillota. RNAcentral also lists the same sequence under 5 other names. The record is from RNAcentral.
GGAGUAGUAUCGAAGUGGUCAUAACGAGCACGAUUGGAAAUCGUGUAGCCUUCACGGGCUCGAGGGUUCGAAUCCCUCCUACUCCGCCA